UACGAAGGCAGCGAGCGUUGUUCGGAAUUACUGGGCGUAAAGAGCGCGCAGGCGGUCGUUCAAGUCGAGUGUGAAAGCCCCCGGCUCAACUGGGGAGGGUCACUCGAUACUGAUCGACUCGAAGGCAGGAGAGGGAAGCGGAAUUCCCGGUGUAGUGGUGAAAUGCGUAGAUAUCGGGAGGAACACCAGUGGCGAAGGCGGCUUCUUGCCGUGUUCUGCGUCGAAGCGCUGA
RNAcentral lists this ribosomal RNA (232 nucleotides) under uncultured bacterium. Its description in RNAcentral is "partial 16S ribosomal RNA". It matches the Rfam family "Bacterial small subunit ribosomal RNA", at positions 524 to 757 of the family's 1533-position model. The record is from RNAcentral.